Molecule: ribosomal RNA, 215 nt
Filed under: Glomeromycotina sp.
Lineage: Eukaryota; Fungi; Glomeromycota
Description: partial small subunit ribosomal RNA
Rfam family: Eukaryotic small subunit ribosomal RNA (bases 75-215)
Source: RNAcentral
GGGUCAGUAGGUUGGUCGUGCCACCGGUACGUACUGGUCUCACUGAUUCCUCCUUCCUGAAGAACCGUAAUGCCAUUAAUUUGGUGUUGCGGGAAACAGGACUGUUACUUUGAAAAAAUUAGAGUGUUUAAAGCAAGCUAACGCUUGAAUACAUUAGCAUGGAAUAAUGAAAUAGGACGAUCGAUCCUAUUUUGUUGGUUUCUAGGAUUGACGUA